AAGAUAGAUUAGUUAGAAAGAAAGAUAGAUAGAUUUGUUAGAAUGAAAGAAAGAUAGAUUAGUGAGAAAGAAAGAUAGAUUAGUUAGAAAGAAAGAUAGAUUAGUUAGAAAGAAAGAAAGAUUAGUUAGAAAGAAAGAUAGAUAGAUUAGAUAGAAAGAAAGAACGAUAGAUUAGUUAGAAAGAAAGAUGGAUAGAUUAAUUAGUUAGAAAGAAAGAUAGAUAGAUUAGUUAGAAAGAAAGAACGAUAGAUUAGUUAGAAAGAAAGAUAGAUAGAUUAGUUAGAAAGAAAGAACGAUAGAUUAGUUAGAAAGAAAGAUGGAUAGAUUAGUUAGAAAGAAAGAUAGA
Rhinichthys klamathensis goyatoka is the source of this 346-nucleotide long non-coding RNA. RefSeq lists it as uncharacterized. The record is from RefSeq and is a predicted model, not a curated record. NCBI's taxonomy places the organism in Eukaryota, Metazoa, Chordata, Actinopteri, Cypriniformes, Leuciscidae. The transcript is spliced from 2 exons.